This 400-nucleotide ribosomal RNA is filed under the name uncultured bacterium. Its description in RNAcentral is "bacterial SSU rRNA". It matches the Rfam family "Bacterial small subunit ribosomal RNA", at positions 355 to 772 of the family's 1533-position model. The record is from RNAcentral.
UGGGGAAUAUUGGACAAUGGGCGAAAGCCUGAUCCAGCAAUGCCGCGUGAGUGAUGAAGGCCUUAGGGUUGUAAAGCUCUUUUACCCGGGCUGAUAAUGACAGUACCGGGAGAAUAAGCCCCGGCUAACUCCGUGCCAGCAGCCGCGGUAAGACGAAGGGGGCUAGCGUUGUUCGGAAUUACUGGGCGUAAAGCGAGUGUAGGUGGUUGUCAUAGUCAGGUGUGAAAGCCUUGAGCUCAACUCAAGAAAUGCACUUGAUACUGGGCAGCUAGAGGACCGGAGAGGAUAGUGGAAUUCCCAGCGUAGUGGUGAAAUACGUAGAGAUUGGGAAGAACACCAGUGGCGAAGGCGGCUAUCUGGACGGUUUCUGACACUAAGACUCGAAAGCGUGGGGAGCAAA